GGGGAUUUAGCUCAGUGGUAGAGCACGUGCCUAGCAAGCACAAGGCCCUGGGUUCGGUCCCCAGCUCA
This 68-nucleotide transfer RNA is filed under the name Rattus norvegicus (Norway rat). It matches the Rfam family "tRNA". From Rfam's summary of the family: Transfer RNA (tRNA) molecules are approximately 80 nucleotides in length. Their secondary structure includes four short double-helical elements and three loops (D, anti-codon, and T loops). Further hydrogen bonds mediate the characteristic L-shaped molecular structure. tRNAs have two regions of fundamental functional importance: the anti-codon, which is responsible for specific mRNA codon recognition, and the 3' end, to which the tRNAs corresponding amino acid is attached (by aminoacyl-tRNA synthetases). tRNAs cope with the degeneracy of the genetic code in two manners: having more than one tRNA (with a specific anti-codon) for a particular amino acid; and 'wobble' base-pairing, i.e. permitting non-standard base-pairing at the 3rd anti-codon position. The record is from Rfam by way of RNAcentral. Lineage: Eukaryota; Metazoa; Chordata; Mammalia; Rodentia; Muridae.